RNAcentral lists this ribosomal RNA (417 nucleotides) under uncultured microorganism. Its description in RNAcentral is "bacterial SSU rRNA". It matches the Rfam family "Bacterial small subunit ribosomal RNA", at positions 9 to 416 of the family's 1533-position model. The record is from RNAcentral.
GAGUUUGAUCGUGGCUCAGGACGAACGCUGGCGGCGUGCCUAAUACAUGCAAGUCGAGCGGAUCUUCAUUAGCUUGCUUUUGAAGAUCAGCGGCGGACGGGUGAGUAACACGUGGGCAACCUGCCUGUAAGACUGGGAUAACUUCGGGAAACCGGAGCUAAUACCGGAUGAUCCUUUUCCUCUCAUGAGGAGAAGCUGAAAGACGGUUUCGGCUGUCACUUACAGAUGGGCCCGCGGCGCAUUAGCUAGUUGGUGAGGUAACGGCUCACCAGGGCGACGAUGCGUAGCCGACCUGAGAGGGUGAUCGGCCACACUGGGACUGGGACACGGCCCAGACUCCUACGGGAGGCAGCAGUAGGGAAUCUUCCGCAAUGGACGAAAGUCUGACGGAGCAACGCCGCGUGAGCGAUGAAGGCC